This is a long non-coding RNA of Cloeon dipterum, 1560 nucleotides long. RefSeq lists it as uncharacterized. The record is from RefSeq and is a predicted model, not a curated record. Lineage: Eukaryota; Metazoa; Arthropoda; Insecta; Ephemeroptera; Baetidae. The transcript is spliced from 5 exons.
GAUUAUAACGAGAGUGAGAUGCGUAGGCCGACCGACGCGACUGUGUCCUGCGCACUGCCGCUUCCCUAUCUCUCCCCAUGUUAAAAUGCGCGCACGCGGUUGGCGCUACAGCUAAAUUCAUGAAGCCACCCGCGGACUGAUUGGUGUCAAUCGAACGCGCACGAGUCGUUUUAUCACAUAACUCGGAACCGAGCCUGAAAACAAAAGCGCUUUCGAGAAUUCCACCGCUGAAAUCUGCCCAUUUCGCUGCGAGCUCCGACAGCGACGAUCGCACCCGAGCGCCAGCGGCUGUCGGCGAAGCACGCAUCACCAUGGCAACCAGACAACAAGUGACGUCACCGAGCGAUUUCAUUGGUCCGCCGUGUGUCACAACUGCUUGGGAAAGAAAACAAUAGUGAGAACACCAAAACAUAACAAUCUCUUCUUGCUCUUCUUGUUUUUGUAACCCAUCGUUUCGUGCCUUGUGUUGAAGCAGGCGCCGGUGGGCCGGUGCCGCCGACACCAGCGGCGAUGCAGGCGGCCGCCGUGGCCCGCGCAAGCAUUCAAGCAGUGCAAGAAGAACCACUUCUCCACCUCCGAGUCGACCGACGACGAGAUGCCCGAGCUCGAAAGAGGUUGAACCUAAGGAAGCUGCAGCUGCUUGAUAAAGUUUCUCCACCUCGAUGAUCCACUCGAACGAUGAGACGGAGAUAAAAAGCAAUAGGCCCUCAGUAAACUGCCUGCUUUUAGUGUUCUGGCAGGCUUCAUUGAAUUUCUCCAUGUUCUUGUGACUGAAGGCCACACCACCUCUGGACAUGAGGAGCUGCCACCACCUGUCGAUUUUUCUGCAGAACCAGGCGGUGGACCAGUGUGAAGAGGCAGAGUACUCUCUCCGGUUGUACAGUUCAGUGACUUGUCGUACUGCCUUCCCAUGGUUAGGCUCAUCUCAUCGUACAUCAAAAUCAUCACUUUGUCAGCAGAGGUCUCAUGCCCCAUGCGAUUUUUCAGAACAGUGAUGGCGCCAGAUUCUACACCAGGAGGAAGGGUGAAAUCUUUUGUCCGCUCCUGGAUUGUCUUAAUCGCUGGUGUAGGAUGGCCACAAUCAUAGUAGUGCUGAUAUCCUGAUGUUCCGAAAAUAAACUUUUUCUCUAGACCUUCGAGUAUUGCUGAGUCAGACCAGGCACUGACAGCUGCCCUUCCACCACUUUUAUUCUGCUUUUCUGUAAGACAUCAAUGUUCAUUAUUGUUUCUUAAAUUGCGGAAAAUGGGCUCACUCAGCAAAUCCAGUUGUUCCUUUGAGUAAAUUUUGCUCAAGUUUUUUUCGAGAACAGCUGCAGCCGUGCUGCUCUCCUUGAGUUCCUUGACUUGAUUUUCCAAGGCUUGGCACUUGGCCAGGAGCUCCCAUCGCUCUCUGGUGUCCUUCGAAUCUCCUUCGGCAAGCCAAUUAAUGACCUCUAUUUUGUUGUAAAUUCCUUCUUGGGGAUUCAGCUUACUUUCCAUUCUUUCUUUUGGGGGUUCAUUGAUUAUUCCUUAUUUUAAUGUGAAAUUACUCAAUAUAUCUUUGAUACAGAUUUAAUCUAU